This is a non-coding RNA of Camellia sinensis, 479 nucleotides long. The record is from RefSeq and is a predicted model, not a curated record. NCBI's taxonomy places the organism in Eukaryota, Viridiplantae, Streptophyta, Magnoliopsida, Ericales, Theaceae.
CAGCAAGUAUGAUCUCUACAGCAAGAGCAAGGUCAGAGUCGAUGUUGAAAAAGUCAAGCCUUACUAUCUCUCCCUCAUUGAAAAGUACUUUCCAGCCAAGCUUAGAUGGUGAAUAGAAUGACAUAUAUAUGAUCUUUUUAACGAGUUUUAAGAUACUCGUUAACAAAACUUAAAAUAAUUGUACAAAUUUUAUCAUCUACACGGUCAUAAAAAUGUGCAAUUAUUUCAUUACAAAAGAAAAUAUAUAUAUGUGUGUGUGUAUACAAACUGAUGAUCCCCAUAGGUAGCCAGCAGCAGCAGCAGCAGCAGCAGAUGUAUGUAUGUAUGAGUAAACUGAAAGUGGUUGGAACCAAACAACCAUUUUUGUGUUUUCUAGCUUUGUUUUGAUGCAAUGGAGGAAGUUUUUUUGUACUUCUAUGCUGUUGUGUAUUCGAUGCAGUAUCCAUCUAUCAAUAAAAUUUUAUAAAUUAAAAAAAAAA